This 205-nucleotide ribosomal RNA is filed under the name uncultured bacterium. RNAcentral describes it as "partial 16S ribosomal RNA". It matches the Rfam family "Bacterial small subunit ribosomal RNA", at positions 568 to 774 of the family's 1533-position model. The record is from RNAcentral.
CGUGUAGGCGGCUUGGUAAGUCCGCUGUGAAAGUCCAGGGCUCAACCCUGGAAUGCCGGUGGAAACUGUCAGGCUCGAGUCCGGAAGAGGCGAGUGGAAUUCCUGGUGUAGCGGUGAAAUGCGCAGAUAUCAGGAGGAACACCAAUGGCGAAGGCAGCUCGCUGGGACGGUACUGACGCUGAGAGCGAAAGCGUGGGAGCAAACA